UACGUAGGGGGCAAGCGUUGUCCGGAAUCAUUGGGCGUAAAGCGCGUGUAGGCGGCUCGGUAAGUCUGCUGUGAAAGUCCAGGGCUCAACCCUGGGAUGCCGGUCGAUACUGCCGGACUAGAGUUCGGAAGAGGCGAGUGGAAUUCCCGGUGUAGCGGUGAAAUGCGUAGAGAUCGGGAAGAACAUCGGUGGCGAAAGCGCUCUACUGGACCGCAACUGACACUCAGGGACGAAAGCUAGGGGAGCGAAUGGG
RNAcentral lists this ribosomal RNA (253 nucleotides) under uncultured bacterium. RNAcentral describes it as "partial 16S ribosomal RNA". It matches the Rfam family "Bacterial small subunit ribosomal RNA", at positions 524 to 776 of the family's 1533-position model. The record is from RNAcentral.